UCCGCCCGUGGUACCGCCCCUCUGCUGCGCGCCCCCUUGCGGCCCGGAGGACUGAAGGGGUGGGUUGGGAACGCGGGGGCGUGGUGACGCGAAGGUGACACGAAGGUGACACGAAGGUGACACGAAGGUGACACGAAGGUGACACGAAGGUGACACGAAGCCGCACCAGAAACCAUCCCCAAAUGGAGAAGGCAAUGAGAAAUGGGUGCAGAUCUGGAUAACAGAGGUGGAGUGGCGUUUUGCUGCCCUCUGCAUCACCCUCAGCGCCGCACUGACCCCGGGGCUGCGAUCUGGAAAUCCAUGCUUGCAGGGGAAACAAAACCUCAGCCCUGAGCAUCUCCCAAGCGCAGCCUUUGGGACACGGUCAGCUCCACGUCCCUGCUCUGCGUGCUGAGCCUGGAGGAUGGUGCAGAGGGAUGGAGGAUGCAGAGGGAUGGAGGAUGCAGAGGGAUGGAAGAUGCAGAAGGAUGGAGGAUGCAGAAGGAUGCAGGAUGCAUGGGACACCUGAGCCGAUGGCACAGCUCCUGCUGCAGCCAGGAUGCAACCCCUGGGACUCGCAGCCUGGUGCUCUGUGGGAAAGGGCAGCCCUGGAGCUAUAAGGAGCAGCAGCCCGACAUGCCACCAGCACUGUGCAGCUCUGCUUUUCCCACAGAGCACCAGGACCAGCCUGCUGCAUUCCUGGAAUGCUAUUUUAUCCCCAGCACGAUUUACAAAAGAGCCUGGCGAUGGCGGAGGGGCUCGGCGGUGACCUUGUUUAUAUUGCGGGAGCGAUAG
This 774-nucleotide long non-coding RNA is filed under the name Numida meleagris (helmeted guineafowl). Its description in RNAcentral is "lncRNA (ENSNMEG00000014853.1)". Lineage: Eukaryota; Metazoa; Chordata; Aves; Galliformes; Numididae. The record is from RNAcentral.